UACGAAGGGUGCAAGCGUUGUUCGGAAUCAUUGGGCGUAAAGCGCGCGCAGGCGGAUUGAUAAGUCAGGUGUGAAAUCCCGGGGCUCAACCUCGGAACUGCGCCUGAAACUAUUAGUCUAGAACGUCGGAGGGGGCAGGGGAAUUUCACGUGUAGGGGUAAAAUCCGUAGAGAUGUGAAGGAACACCGGAGGCGAAGGCGCCUGCCUGGACGACUAUUGACGCUGAGGCGCGAAAGCGUGGGGAGCAAACAGG
RNAcentral lists this ribosomal RNA (253 nucleotides) under uncultured bacterium. RNAcentral describes it as "partial 16S ribosomal RNA". It matches the Rfam family "Bacterial small subunit ribosomal RNA", at positions 524 to 776 of the family's 1533-position model. The record is from RNAcentral.